CCUACGUGUGGCAGCAGUGAGGAAUAUUGGUCAAUGGACGAGAGUCUGAACCAGCCAAGUAGCGUGAAGGAUGACUGCCCUAUGGGUUGUAAACUUCUUUUAUAAAGGAAUAAAACGAGGCACGUGUGCCUUUUUGCAUGUACUUUAUGAAUAAGGAUCGGCUAACUCCGUGCCAGCAGCCGCGGUAAUCAGGAGGAUCCGAGCGUUAUCCGGAUUUAUUGGGUUUAAAGGGAGCGUAGAUGGGUUGUUAAGUCAGUUGUGAAAGUUUGCGGCUCAACCGUAAAAUUGCAAUUGAUACUGGCAGCCUUGAGUACAGUUGAGGUAGGCGGAAUUCGUGGUGUAGCUGUGAAAUGCUUAGAUAUCACGAAGAACUCCGAUUGCGAAGGCAGCUUACUAAACUGCCACUGACAUUGAUGCUCGAAAGUGUGGGUAUCAAACAGGAUUAGAUACCCGUGUAGUC
RNAcentral lists this ribosomal RNA (460 nucleotides) under uncultured bacterium. RNAcentral describes it as "partial 16S ribosomal RNA". It matches the Rfam family "Bacterial small subunit ribosomal RNA", at positions 338 to 795 of the family's 1533-position model. The record is from RNAcentral.